UACGUAGGGGGCGAGCGUUGUCCGGAUUUAUUGGGCGUAAAGAGCUCGUAGGCGGUCUGUCGCGUCGGAUGUGAAAGCCCGGGGCUCAACUCCGGAUCUGCGGUGGGUACGGGCAGACUAGAGUGAUGUAGGGGAGACUGGAAUUCCUGGUGUAGCGGUGAAAUGCGCAGAUAUCAGGAGGAACACCGAUGGCGAAGGCAGGUCUCUGGGCAUUAACUGACGCUGAGGAGCGAAAGCAUGGGGAGCGAACAGG
Molecule: ribosomal RNA, 253 nt
Filed under: uncultured bacterium
Lineage: Bacteria
Description: partial 16S ribosomal RNA
Rfam family: Bacterial small subunit ribosomal RNA
Source: RNAcentral